Long non-coding RNA from Sciurus carolinensis (gray squirrel), 539 nucleotides. RefSeq lists it as uncharacterized. Lineage: Eukaryota; Metazoa; Chordata; Mammalia; Rodentia; Sciuridae. The record is from RefSeq and is a predicted model, not a curated record. The transcript is spliced from 3 exons.
CUCAUCAUGGCCUGCAUAUUAAAAUCACCUGCAGACCAAGGAAUCAGAAUUUCCUGUGAUGUGACCUGGGCACUGGGAUUUUUAAAAAGCUCCUCCAGAGAUUUGUCAGUUGGAGAUCACAGCACCAAAUUAUUCACAUUACAUGUUAGAACAUUCUAGCUCCCCAAAAGAGGAAAUGACUUCUCCCAAAGUACCCAUAAGAGAGUGGUAGAGAGGAAGAAGAAUAUGCACCUGUCUUUGAGGAGGAACCAAGUUGGAAUCCCAGCUUUGCCAUUUUCUGGCUCACAAGUGGAAGCACAGAAAGGUUAAGCAACUUGCGAAAGGUCACACAGCAGCUAAAAAGGCCAUAAGUUGGACUUCAAAGCCGGUGCUUUAAUGAUGACAACACCCUUCUGCCUCUCUGGAAGCACCUCAGAGAGGAGAGAGGGGAAGAUGAAAACUCCAUGCCUCCCAGAUGGUCCCUGCAGUUUGGAGGAGACUCUAUGAAAAUAGGCCCUCCAACCGGGAGCUCUGUAGAAAGGACUUCAGACCAGCACAUC